Molecule: long non-coding RNA, 514 nt
Filed under: Apteryx rowi (Okarito brown kiwi)
Lineage: Eukaryota; Metazoa; Chordata; Aves; Apterygiformes; Apterygidae
Description: lncRNA (ENSARWG00000002202.1)
Source: RNAcentral
AAAACAGCAAACUUUCAGUUUGGGGAAAUACACAUCCUCGCCGGGAGCCCUGGCACAGCCCGGGCUCGCCGGAGCCGGCCGCGCUGCCUUUGCAGGCGCAGGACGUGCAGAGCAUUAACAGUUUUGGCCAGAAAUGGUGAGAAGAAAAAGCAUGAAGAAGCCGCGAAGUGGAGGAGAAAAGGUGAAGGGAGAUGCAGCUCCUGGAGAAAUUGUAAAAAAAGCCUUGCAAAGAGUUGUCGGAAGGACCGUUAUUCCUGCUGGGCAGGAGCGAGAGGAGAGACCCUGAAACACACGCCACCUAUCUUUGUGGGGAGGGAUAAUUGAAGAGCACCAAACAUAUGGAUCAGGGGUGAGAUGGGCUCUCUUCCUGCCUCUCUCCGCUCCUUGGGAAGCGGCUAGACAGGCAAAGAGACAAGAGCGGACAAGCAGGCGAGUGGUACUGAACUUCGGGGAGGUUACAAGUUUUUCACCUUUUUAAAGUAUUAAAAUUAAAAUAAAAUUGCAUAUUAGAACA